This 347-nucleotide unclassified non-coding RNA is filed under the name soil metagenome. RNAcentral describes it as "partial contains 5.8S ribosomal RNA, internal transcribed spacer 2, and large subunit ribosomal RNA". The stretch from base 1 to 120 matches the Rfam family "5.8S ribosomal RNA", at positions 35 to 154 of the family's 154-position model. The record is from RNAcentral.
GAUGAAGAACGCAGCGAAAUGCGAUAAGUAGUGUGAAUUGCAGAAUUCAGUGAAUCAUCGAGUCUUUGAACGCACAUUGCGCCCCCUGGUAUUCCGGGGGGCAUGCCUGUCCGAGCGUCAUUGCUGCCCUCAAGCACGGCUUGUGUGUUGGGCCCCCGUCCCCCCCUCCCGGGGGACGGGCCCGAAAGGCAGCGGCGGCACCGCGUCCGGUCCUCGAGCGUAUGGGGCUUUGUCACCCGCUCUGUAGGCCCGGCCGGCGCCUGCCGACCACCAUCAAUCUUUUUUCAGGUUGACCUCGGAUCAGGUAGGGAUACCCGCUGAACUUAAGCAUAUCAAUAAGCGGAGGA